ACUUCUGGGAGAGGUGCAAGUAUCAACCAGUUGGAGACACAGGGAAAGGGUGAUAUAAUGCAGAAAGUGACUUGAACAAAUUUACACAGAAGGCAGUGAAGUGUGAUUCAAAUUCAAGCAGUCUAGACUGUGCCCCACACAACUCUGCAGCAUAACCUUGCAGUAUGAAAAUAAUGCCUCUCAUGCAGAGUUAUCAAAAGCAAGGAAAGUUUGAGAAGCUUUCACAGCCAAGAAGAGCCUGAAGAGACAUGAUAAACAAAUAAAAUGGUGAAUCCUGGAUGCAGCCCUGGAAAAACAACAAAGCGACCUCAGGUUAUGUCUUCUUUUAUAAGACUACCCACUGCCUCUUCUCAAGUAUAUCUGAAGUAUGGCUGGUUGGAGUAUAUCAGGACCCUCAGAGGAGAAAAGCAUAUAAAACCAGCACACCUGAACCCAGCAACCAUACGUAGCUGCUGGUGAGGAGGAAGGGACCCUGAGGAAGAAGGAAGAACCCAGUCUACAAGUGAAUGGAGAGAGAGAAGAGUUAAGAUUGCUGAAGGACUGGUGGUUUACUAUAGCACGGAUGGAGCUUUUUAUUUACCAAAAUGACUCUUCUUCUAACUGAAGGAACAUUAAAAAAAUGACGUGUUUUGCAAAAGACUUAAUCCAGGAUAGAAAAGGGGAUAGCACAGAAGAGGAGUUUGAAGGAGCAGAAGAAAA
This is a long non-coding RNA of Homo sapiens (human), 699 nucleotides long. Ensembl annotates it as long intergenic non-protein coding RNA 1440. NCBI's taxonomy places the organism in Eukaryota, Metazoa, Chordata, Mammalia, Primates, Hominidae. The record is from Ensembl.